Molecule: long non-coding RNA, 7065 nt
Organism: Acanthopagrus latus (yellowfin seabream)
Lineage: Eukaryota; Metazoa; Chordata; Actinopteri; Spariformes; Sparidae
Exons: 15
Source: RefSeq, a predicted model, not a curated record
GUGUGUGUGUGUUUGGGUUUUGUUGUCGGCCGAAAUAUCUGUUUUAUUCAUUUAUUUAAUUCUAUGACUCAAUACAAUAGUGCACAAUUAUUUAUUAGCAGUUCACUGAUGUUUGCUAGCUCGUUAGCAGCUGCUUGAAUCUGAGUCAGUGAGAGAAGCUAUCAAUGCAAUGUAUUGUUCCUUAGCUGGCAGGGUUUGGGUUUUUCAUUUUGCUGUAGUAUGAAGCGAUCUCUGGUACAUCAAUGGUUGUACAUGAUGCCUAAAAAUAGAUUAUAUAGUUAGCACUUCUAACUCAAAAACCAUGAUUGUGAGUGAUGGCAGCAAUCAUGGUAUUUGAGUUAGAAGUGCUAAUUUCGAUAUCGAUAUGCUGUGAGCUUUGCUAUGGUCAGUCAAAUUUGAUGUUUGUAGCUCCGUGUAGCUGCCAUCAGCUAGUAAGCUCAUCUGACAAAACUGUUACAGAAACCUGGGACUUGUAUUUACAGCAAGGGUGUUGUACUCAGAAACUAUUCAGUCCAAAUUCUACUAAUGAAUCUUAUUGUUAUUACCAUCACAGGUCUUGGAGGUAUGUUAUUCCAAACUUUAAGUCAUCCAUCACUCUCAUGAUUGGGGUCUACUGUUAUCUGUAAGUGUGGAGUGUCAUUUUGGAUGAAUGUGAAUUCCCUUCAUAUUGAGCAUCUUAUAUAACAUAUCUAAAUGCUUGCAUUAUGAUUCCUCUUCUGUAGAAUAAAGUGAGUACAGUUUACAUUUCAAACGUUCACUUAGAUGUUAUUUUACAGAUGACAUCUACGUGAACUUUUGACUCUGACUUAACCUCCCAGGAUGUGGGUGAGUAAAACCACAGGCUGCAAAUGUGCGGCUGAAACAAUGCACUACUUUAUUUGAAUACGAAUGCAUCAUAAUUUUAAUUGUUGGAUAAGCCUUGCAGCAAAGUUUCAAUACAAGUCACCAGGAUCAUUAUUCUUUAAUAAAGGGCCAAAGAGAGCCCACGACAUGCUGGAAGGAACAGUUUAUGGGCUUGUAAAUAGAGAGACUUUUCCUAUACAUCCUAAACUUAAGCUUCCUUAACAUUACACUGAUUUACUUUAGAACAAAAAUGAGACGUAGCAAGUACUGUGAUGAAUUUAAAAAAUAGUUUUUAAUGUCAUCCAGGCAUCCUGAAUGGGUUUCAGUGUUGACUGUGUGCUUGUGUGACAGCUAUAAUCAAAUCUGCAUUUGACACGAAGAAAUCAGACGUACUGAGCCCUUUGCAAUUUUCAUGCACUGCAGCCCUGUGAAUUUGAGUCCAUCAGUUGCAGGAGAUUCUCCAACAUGACAAGCCAGUGGGGCUCUAAGAUGAAUUGUUUUAACAUAGACUUAAAAUAAUAAAUACAAUUUAGAAAGUCAUAUAUAGCAUGAAGAUGACAGCAGUGGUCUGUUUCUUCAUCAAACUGAGAAAGCGGACUGUUUGUAAUUGUGGCAAUAACACCUGUCUGUUGUAAGUAGCUGAGGCAGAAACAACAUGGGGUUGUCAUACCAUACCAAAGAUCACAAAAGAAUUAGAUUUAGGCGACUGUGACUUGAGCACAUCAACCUGAAGACUGAAGCACGUCUUCUCCACAAUGAGGUUUUUUCGGUUUGACGUUCCUCACAUACUUUCCUUGUGAACGGAAACAAACCAAACCCUCUCUUACUGUGACAUACAAAAGUGAAAGCACCAACAUCUUUUCUCAUUCUUGUCGAUCACCAUAAGCAAGGAGAUUGUCUCAUGUCACCCCGAGAGUUCACAGGUGAAGAAAUCGCAACACCAAACCAUCAACUUGGUGGUAUAAUUCAGAAGUUAACUCUAGUAGACUUUUAUUAGGCAUCUCUACUUCACCAACAACAAUGGUUGUUAUUUAUCUGUUUUUCUCAACUGAGAUGGAGAACAAACAUUUACCAACAUGAAGAGAAGAAAAGAAUGGAACCCAUAUUCUGUGCUCAAGAAAUGAGGCAUCUGUUGAAACUGGUGGGAUCAGUGUUGGCAAUGAACUUAUCCUUUCACUGGAGGUUACCCAUGAUGAAUCGGCCUCUGGUGACUGCAAAGACCCUUCCAGACCAUUCCAAUCUCCCAGUUGGGACGAUAGUGACAUGGAGUGGGAGUCUUCACAGAUUAGCAAUGUGGCACCGUCUAACUCCACCACAGAGGAUGAGAUCCCGAUGGACACAGACUAGACAGGGGGCCAGAGGAUCUUCAUCCAGCCAGCUGUCUGAAAUGUGAGGAGAAGAAAGAUUUGCAUUUCCUGUCAAGUCAAGAGCAAUAAAUAAAUUGAUCAGGAAAACCAUCUUGUCAUUCUUUGUACUGUGCUCAAAUGCAACAUUCUAUAUGCUGUGUUUAUAGAAAGUUUUUUGAACAGAAACUUCUAGGUAGGGAACACGCUUAUGUAGUAGCUUACAUCAUUUUUAAUUUUCUGUUUUGAUUUAAACAAUACGGAGAUACACCAGUGCUAUUACUGCAGUUUUGGUAUCCAUGUGGACAGGGAGGUUAUAGGUAAAGAUGUUUUUGCAUUAUCAGUAUAAAAAUAUUUUAAAAAAUCACUUGGCAAAUAGAUGGUUAGUUGGCACAUAUCAAAACCCAGAAAUGUGUUAAAAAAACUCACAUUUACCAAAUCCUCAGAAUUUCAGGAAAAAGGUGCAGAGACCGGGGAAAAGACUUAGACUGAAAUUACUGAUAUUUAAUUCAUUUGUAAAAUAGACUCAACAAUGUGAAAGUAUUGUCUUGAGAAGCAUUACUGACAUCUGCUGGAACACAAGUUGAAGUUCAGCUACUACUGUAUGUACAGCACAUACUAAUAUGAGUAUGCCGAGGUCACUUAAAGAACUAGUACAAGUUUAUAUGCUGAACAAAAAGGUUGCAAUAAAGCAGCACUAGAGGGUGAAUAAAGGUGGCAAUUCAAAUUGUGAUCUAUUUCCUUUUCUUUAUUUCGUCAAUACUACAUAAGACAAACAAAUCAGACUUCUAGCAUGAUAUGUGGCACUUUAAUAUUUAAAUAACACUUAAAUUCUGCACACAUCUCACGUUUAAUAAUCCUGCACCAUUAAGCUAACAUUGUAACAGUACAACACAUGGUGGCAUUUAUGUAUAAUGCUGUGCUGGGUACCCUUACAAAUCAAAUCAAAAAAUUCAAAGAUGAGCAGUUGAAAAAAUGAGUAUAAAAAGAAAUGUAAUUUUUUUAAAAAAAGCUUUUGAUAUUUUUUUACUUGGCAGUAUUUGAGAGAGUUGCCACUACCUGUCUUGCAUUUUCAUUUACAACCAUUCUUCCACCAGAGGAUUCAGUGACAGGAAGACAUUAUAAAAACACUUUCUCUACCGUAAUACCACUAAGUAAUGUGCCCUGCAAAGUCCUAUGUAAUUGAGCCUGUGAUUAUAACGAGCAGACUUUGCUCUUACUGACUGUUUGGUCAAAUGCAACUGAUUUCUCUUGUUUGUAAAGCUUUCACAGAUCUUAAUUGUAAGUUAAGUCAUCUGUUUAUCUCAUGACAACAGGAUAAAAAUGGUGGUAUUGUGCAUAUAUUUAACCUUAAUUUGUACUUGGAUGAUUAUGAAAAAUGUUCAGGGCUAUCGGCUCUGAACUGUAAGUGUGAAAUGUCAUUGUGGAUCAAUGUCCUCAAUAUUAUGUGGGGAUCUUGUAUAAUAUAUUUAAGCACAGUUGCAGUUGUGAUUCAUUUAUACAUUGAGAGCUGGAAAACAGGAUGUGGGUGCACAACGCUUUCUGCUGGUGAAGAGCAAAGUGCCUGACCGAGAUGAAGGUGUAAAGUAUAUAACAAGUCUCCUCCCACAGGUCGGGUUGUGGGUAGCACUGCCUCAUUUCAUUUCCCUGCAAUGAAAAGUGAACUGCCAGAACUGAAGCAGUCAGACACAGAAAAACACAGAAGUCAGAUUGAAUUUCUACUAAGGGAGAUUGCCUCUUCUUGGGCAAUAAAAUCAGAUGGUAUUAUAUAUCUCUAGUAGACCUCUAAAAGACAUUAGGCAUCUCUACCCCAUCAAAUGAGGAUGGAUGUAAAUUAUCUGUUCUUGUUAGCUCAGACAGAGGACCAACGUUUACCCAUACGAUGAAAGGAAAGGACCGAUGUUCUGUGCUCCAGAAAAGAGAUUCCUGCUCAGUGCGAAAGCAAUCCUAAUGGAGAUCAUGGUGUUGUCGUCUAUGACGAUAAAACAGUCCGCAUGUCUUUUCAACAAGAUGCAGAGUUGACUAAUAAUGGGCAGCGCCCUGCCAGUUCUGUGCAGCCUUUCCAACCUGGCCAUUUUGAGAAUGAGGACUCUUCCACGGAUAGGGAUGCUCUGGAGACCGACAGCAACUCACUAGCCAGUCUUCAGGAAGAGGAGGAGGAGGAGGAGGAGGCAGAGAAUGAAGGGGAAGACUGGGUGCAUCUACAGCCAUCAUGCAUCAACGUGGAUGACAAGAUGGAUGACAAGAGAAACUUGCAUGUUUAAUGUCUUUGAAAGGUCAACAGUUUCCCCUGCUUCCUGCUGUUGUGCUAAGCUAAACCAACAUACACACACUAGGUUGGUAUUAGACUCUUAAUAAGAUGAGAUGAGACAGUUAGUGAGUGAAUUCCCAUAACUAAUUUUUUAUGUAAAGCAUUAACCUGAAAUACACUAAACCUUUGACAACAAUUGAAGAAAAGCUAUAUGAGAAAUACCCUUGAUUAAUUUUGAAUAUCCAACACACUUUAUAUUUUGGUAAAUCUGUACCAUGGAGUGCAAUAUUUGGUAGCAAGGCCCCUGUUUGGUUCAAAUACACAGGCUGGAUUACAAAUAUAGUUUUUGAUACUAUGCUAUACUAUAUAAUCUGCGUAAAAUUGAUGUAGUUACAACAGUCAAACCUAUCCCUCAUGGAACAUAACUGUUGAAACAUUGUAAAUUUCAAACUCAUUAAAUGGCACUUGUCAUAUCCUUUCAGAGCCUUUAUUUUUUGAAAGUAAAAAACCCUCUAAUUCUACAUUCACAUCCAGAGUCACAAAUGAUUACACUCUUGACGUUGACUAGAGAUUAAUUGUGAAAAUCCAUGGUCUGGUUUGCGAAAAAUCAAAAAUGAGGGUUAAUGACAACAGAUUUACUGACCUUUAACUGUCUGUGUAAAGCCACGCAUAUUAAUCACAGUGAAAUUAUAAUUUAAAGGUUCUGUUUGUUAAAAGAAUGAUUUUUGAGUCCCAUUCCCAACUCGUCAACUAGCUCAAACAUGAUUUUGGCAUGAGCUUUCCCUUAAAGGACUGAAUUGUAGGAAAAUUCUAUUAUUGAGUCUCAUUCCCAACUCUUCAAAAACUGACGCUUUGUGAUUAUAUGACAGGUCGGCCACCAUCCCAAAGCAUUUUUGACGAUUUUCACACUAAAAUCUUGUUUGCAACAUAUGGCUGAUUGGUUGCACAGCUCAGAAGCAGGAGUGAAAAGUGAAGUGAAAUCUGACUUUCAUAAAGGCCACAGUUGAACAUGCAGUGGAAAGAAACACUUUAAUUCAAUAGUGCAGGUCAAAUUGCAAUACUUUACCUCUCAAAUUCUGCAAAAUCCCUCACCACGUGUAAUGGAAGGGAGGAAACUAGGAAGCAUGAGUAAUCUGCAACCAACUAACCCUGUCAGCCACUGUGGACAGUCUGCUGAUCUUCUAAUCUAAGACACUGAAUCCAAAGAGGACAAAGAGUGUGACUACUAACAGUUAUUCUGCAGAUUCCCAUGAAAGCAAUCGUUUCUUUAAACAUUUACCAUAUGGUUAAGCAGCCUUCAUAAUAUGUGAAAGGAUGGGUUUUCUUGAGAACUGAAACUGACUAGUUUGCUGAUCCUAGCUGAAAAUGCAGAAGUUUUAAAUCCAGAAGUGGGAGUGCAGAAGUAGUCAUUAGUCAUUUGUGUCUGUCACAGGCAUUUCUUUAUCAACUAUUUUGGGUGUUGGCUAGUUUAGACAGACACAGAUAUCGAACCACUGAGUACAGAUGUCACCGCAAAUUCUCUCAGCCGAAGCAGUGGACCAAGGCAGAAAGACAAUGACGAAAGGAAAAUCUAAUCAGUGUUUUGUACAAGGAUCCCAGGAAAAGAGGUUUCUAUUGAGUUUGGUGGUCAUACUGCUCACAUCAUCCGUACCAUUCGGUUAACGACCGCCAAUGGGAGGACUCCUUCUGGUGAAGACCCUCAAAGUUCUGUGAGACCAUUACAUGCUCAGGAUGAAGAGGAGCCCAUGGAGUGGGAGUAUUCAGACACGAUGAGCAAUGUGGCUCCAACUGAUGACGAGAUCCCGAUGGAUACAGACUAGCUGGAGCACAGUUCCAACUUCCACUGAUCACGACAACCCUUUCUACCUACUGGGAUACAGCUGCCUAAGUAUUUAUGAAUGCCCUCUAUGGAUUAUUUGUUGUCCAGAUCCGUCCAUCCAUUGUCAACCGCUUAUCCGGAGUCGGAUAGUGGGGGCAGCAGCUUCAGCAGCGAGACCCAGACUUCCCUUUCCCUGGCCAGGUCGGCUAACUCUGACUGGGGAGUUGCAAGGUGUUCCCAGGCCAGAGAGGAGAUGUACUGCCUCCACCUGGUCCUAUGUCUACCCCUAGGUCUCCUCCCAGUUGGACGUGCCAGAAACACCUCCCUAGGAAGGCACCCUGGUGGCAUCCUCAUCAGAUGCCCAAACCACCUCAACUGGCUCCUUUCCACGCAAAGGAGCAGCAGUUCUACUCUGAGUCCCUCCCGGAUGGCUUAGCUUUUCACCCUAUCUCUAAGGGAGACCCCAGCCGCCCUGCGGAGAAAACCCAUUUCAGCUGCUUGUACCCGCAAUCUCGUUCUUUCAGUCACAGCCCAACACUCAUGACUGUAGGUGAGGGUAGGGACGAGGAUUGACCAGUAGAUCGAGAGCUUUGCCUUCCGGCUCAGCUCCCUUUUCAUCACAACAGUGCGGUGAAGCGCAUGCAACACCGCACCUGCUGCUCCAAUUCUAGAGUCAAUCUCACGCCCCAUCAUCCCCUCACUCAUCAACAAAACCCUGAGGUACUUUAACUCCUUUGACUUGGGGCAAGGACUCAUUACUGUCUAAAUGUAUUGACUAAAUAAAGUUUCUAAUGAAUAUGUGUAAUCAA